GCGCAGCAGCGCGAAAUUUUUCUCAAUGGGGGCAACCCUGAAGGAGCGACGCCGCGUGGAGGAUGAAGGCUUUCGGGUUGUAAACUCCUGUCAUUUGAGAACAAGGUACGAGUGUUAACUGUACUCGUAUUGAUAGUAUCAGAAGAGGAAGGGACGGCUAACUCUGUGCCAGCAGCCGCGGUAAUACAGAGGUCCCAAGCGUUGUUCGGAUUCAUUGGGCGUAAAGGGUGCGUAGGUGGCGCCGUAAGUGGGGUGUGAAAUCUCGGGGCUUAACUCCGAAACUGCAUUCCAUACUGCGGUGCUUGAGGACUGGAGAGGAGACUGGAAUUCAUGGUGUAGCAGUGAAAUGCGUAGAGAUCAUGAGGAAGACCAGUGGCGAAGGCGGGUCUCUGGACAGUUCCUGACACUGAGGCACGAAGGCCAGGGGAGCAAACGGGAUUAGAUACCCGUGUAGU
Molecule: ribosomal RNA, 455 nt
Filed under: uncultured organism
Description: bacterial SSU rRNA
Rfam family: Bacterial small subunit ribosomal RNA
Source: RNAcentral